AUACUCACCUGGCAGGGGAGAUACCAUGAUCACGAAGGUGGUUUUCCCAGGGCGAGGCUUAUCCUUUGUACUCUGGAUGUGCUGAUCCCUGCAAUUUCCCCAAAUGUGGGAAACUCAGCUGCAUAAUUUGUGGUAGUGGGAGACUGUGUUCACACUCUUCUCAA
Molecule: non-coding RNA, 164 nt
Organism: Otolemur garnettii (small-eared galago)
Lineage: Eukaryota; Metazoa; Chordata; Mammalia; Primates; Galagidae
Source: Rfam